GGGAGAAGGGCCGACAGCAGAAACCAGAGCGUCCUGUGAGAUGAAGAAAAGGCCGGGAACCUGUGGCCUGGAGUGCACAGGACUCACACUGCUGUAUGGAGCUUCAGACUGUCCGUGGGACCGAGCCUUUCCCUGAGGCCUCUGAGUGGCAGCUCUCUCAACAGCCUCUGAGUUCCUCCCCUAUAUAAACUGCGAAAUUUACAAAUCCAGGUCAUGAACCUCCUGAGAAAUUGGAUCCCUGUUCCCAUGUGGCAGCAACUAGAGAAGCUCCGUGGCAGCUUGACCUGAGGUAUCUUCAUCCACUACACCACAG
This 313-nucleotide long non-coding RNA is filed under the name Homo sapiens (human). RNAcentral describes it as "HSALNT0097932". Lineage: Eukaryota; Metazoa; Chordata; Mammalia; Primates; Hominidae. The record is from RNAcentral.